UCUAUAGCUCCUCCAGGAAGGGUGUAAAAAAAACUAUGGCUGAAUGAAUUCAAUUGCAUUAACAGCAGUUACAGAGCUGGUAAGUAUUAGAUCUAGUGUUUCAAUUGUGGGUUCUGAAUUUGAGACCAUCUAUCAAUAGACUAUGCCAAAAGUCCAAUGAUGUGCUCAACAUAUGAAAAAGAUGUCUAUGAAGUCAUAGACCCAAGGAGGAACUUUAACAACAUAACACUAUUAAGUAAAACUGGUCAAAGAAUUGGCCCUUGAGUCAGGAUGAUUCCUUUACCUGAGUUCAAAUCUGGGCUUAAACAUUUAAUACUUGUGAGAGCCUAGCGGAAGCAGUCAUUAUUUGCUUUAGUUUCCUGAAGUGUAAAAUGAGCAGGAGAAGAAAAAGUCAAACCAUCACAGAUUCUUUGUUAAAAAAUCCAAAUGGGAUUGCAAAGAAUAAGAUAUGAUGGAAAAAUUACUGGAAAUCACCCAUUGAAUUCUUGAUAACAUCCACUUUUAAGUUGUUCUUUUUAAAAAAAUAGAUCAAUUAUAUUCUAAAAGCACCUUAUAAAAAUGUUUCUCUCCAAAUUCUAUAUGAUAUUGAACUUGUGGGUUCCUUUUGUCUAGAAGAAACUUAUAAUAACCCAAGGAAAAGCUCCCUAAAGGAAAGAGAAGCUGGAAUAUCCAUGAAAACAAAACAAUUUUUUAUGAUAACUUCAGAUCAAUGUUAUUUGGAUUGUAUGUAUCACACAAGCCACUUUUUCUAUUCUCCCCAAAAUUCUCAUCUUCUACAAUAGCAACUAUUAAAUUUAUAGUUGGUUGGACUUAAUAAUAUUAAUUGGUGGUUUCCAGGUAUUAAAUUUCUAAAUCCCAAAUGAAUUACUAAAGUAGAAUGGAAUUUAUGGUAGUUUUAUUUAAAAUAGAGGUAAGAUAUUAGAGAGAGAGAGAGAGAGAGAGAGAGAGAGAGAGAGAGAGAGAGAGAGAGAGAGAGAGAGAGAGAGAGAGAGAGAGAGGGACAGGGAGAGGGAGGGAGGAAGAGAA
This 1026-nucleotide long non-coding RNA is filed under the name Monodelphis domestica (gray short-tailed opossum). RNAcentral's name for it is "lncRNA (ENSMODG00000036823.1)". Lineage: Eukaryota; Metazoa; Chordata; Mammalia; Didelphimorphia; Didelphidae. The record is from RNAcentral.